GUUUAGCUAAAGCCUCUAUCAACAUUUCUACGCUUGCAUGUUUCAAAGCCUCCAGAAGCCAGAGGGCUAUUUUAACACAUUACACUCCAGCAGUUUCUAUUGAUGGAUUUAGCUGGGUGUUGGAAGGACAAGCAAAACCUCAUUUUGGGAAUUCCACCAUCUACAAUUCCUGCAUGUUACAUUCCAACCAGACUCAGAAAUAUAAGGCUUUCCCUAUUACUGCUGGGACAAAACUGCAAGCUCCCUAACAAAAAACACUUGUACAACUACCAGUGCAAUAACUCAAGAAGCAUUGUAUGGGUAUAGUAGGGUAAGAGGCCUGUUUCUGUAUUCCACUGCUCUGCAGCUCUACGUGGUUCAUUUAUGGGAACACUUUAUCCGGCUUUCCAAGCGAUGCAUGGUUAAUAACAGAUACUGCAAAUGGCGUUCUUUACACGUCUUACCACGAAAAAUGGUGAACUUCAAAAAUGGCGUAAAGUAUUAAACAGAGUAACAGUGAGAAGACAUUGGAGGGCGGUGCAGAUGUUGGCUAAACAGCAGCAACACUCCUGAUCAUUUGGUCCUUUGCAUGAUUACCCUGGAGUUACAUGCAGGCUUCGGUUCUUUGCGGGAAUGGGACCAGUUCUCGGGGUUCCAUGACUGGCUGCUAUUCGACAUGCCAAGGGUUUGGCCUGAGAGUCUUGAUUGUGUUCGGAAGCCUAAGAUCUCAGGGCUCUGGAAACGGGCGGAUCGAGGGUUGACGUCACGGGAGGAGACUCAUGUGUCACCGGGAAGGCUGGAAAAUCUUUCACUGUGGGCCCGAAGACCCAAGGUCUUUGCAACCUUCAGACACAGAGCUUGAUAAAAGCGACAAACAGACUUUUAACAUCGUAAACCAGCUGGUUUUUGUUAUGUCUCCCGCUCGCUGUAAAAAUGGGGGACACCUCCCUCUCCCUUGCCAGGGAGAGAGAGAACCUGUGGGUUGUCAAAUUUUGGAUGAAAUGCGAAGCCCUCGGGGUAACUUUGGUCUCUGUUUUUGUUAUCACAUAGCACACGCUUGUGCUCGGU
Long non-coding RNA from Hypanus sabinus (Atlantic stingray), 1047 nucleotides. RefSeq lists it as uncharacterized. The record is from RefSeq and is a predicted model, not a curated record. The transcript has 3 exons. NCBI's taxonomy places the organism in Eukaryota, Metazoa, Chordata, Chondrichthyes, Myliobatiformes, Dasyatidae.